CAGAGUUGCAAAACUCCCUAAACCAUUGUGAACGUUACCUAAACCGUUGCUUCGGCGGGCGGCCCCGGGGUUCUCCCCGGGCGCCCCUGGGCCCCACCGCGGGCGCCCGCCGGAGGUCACCAAACUCUUGAUAAUUUAUGGCCUCUCUGAGUCUUCUGUACUGAAUAAGUCA
Molecule: unclassified non-coding RNA, 172 nt
Filed under: soil metagenome
Description: partial internal transcribed spacer 1
Source: RNAcentral